UACGGAGGGAGCAAGCGUUGCUCGGAAUCACUGGGCGUAAAGCGUACGCAGGCGGCUCGAUAAGUCGGGUGUGAAAGCCCGGGGCUCAACCCCGGAAUUGCGCCCGAUACUGCCGAGCUUGAGUACGGGAGAGGGAUAGCGGAAUUCCUGGUGUAGAGGUGAAAUUCGUAGAUAUCAGGAGGAACACCAGUGGCGAAAGCGCCUUCCUGGCCCGAUACUGACGCUCAUGUACGAAAGCGUGGGGAGCAAACAGG
RNAcentral lists this ribosomal RNA (254 nucleotides) under uncultured bacterium. Its description in RNAcentral is "partial 16S ribosomal RNA". It matches the Rfam family "Bacterial small subunit ribosomal RNA", at positions 524 to 776 of the family's 1533-position model. The record is from RNAcentral.